RNAcentral lists this ribosomal RNA (588 nucleotides) under Microbacteriaceae bacterium. RNAcentral describes it as "bacterial SSU rRNA". It matches the Rfam family "Bacterial small subunit ribosomal RNA", at positions 222 to 822 of the family's 1533-position model. The record is from RNAcentral. Lineage: Bacteria; Bacillati; Actinomycetota; Actinomycetes; Micrococcales; Microbacteriaceae.
GGGAUGGACUCGCGGCCUAUCAGCUUGUUGGUGAGGUAAUGGCUCACCAAGGCGACGACGGGUAGCCGGCCUGAGAGGGUGACCGGCCACACUGGGACUGAGACACGGCCCAGACUCCUACGGGAGGCAGCAGUGGGGAAUAUUGCACAAUGGGCGAAAGCCUGAUGCAGCAACGCCGCGUGAGGGAUGACGGCCUUCGGGUUGUAAACCUCUUUUAGUAGGGAAGAAGCGAAAGUGACGGUACCUGCAGAAAAAGCACCGGCUAACUACGUGCCAGCAGCCGCGGUAAUACGUAGGGUGCAAGCGUUGUCCGGAAUUAUUGGGCGUAAAGAGCUCGUAGGCGGUUUGUCGCGUCUGCUGUGAAAUCCCGAGGCUCAACCUCGGGCUUGCAGUGGGUACGGGCAGACUAGAGUGCGGUAGGGGAGAUUGGAAUUCCUGGUGUAGCGGUGGAAUGCGCAGAUAUCAGGAGGAACACCGAUGGCGAAGGCAGAUCUCUGGGCCGUAACUGACGCUGAGGAGCGAAAGCAUGGGGAGCGAACAGGAUUAGAUACCCUGGUAGUCCAUGCCGUAAACGUUGGGCGCUAGAUG